Molecule: long non-coding RNA, 380 nt
Organism: Mauremys mutica (yellowpond turtle)
Lineage: Eukaryota; Metazoa; Chordata; Testudines; Geoemydidae
Exons: 3
Source: RefSeq, a predicted model, not a curated record
UGAGACCUUUGGAAGAUGGUUGCAGAGAAAUAAGAUGUUGACCAUAACAUUGAGUCAGUGGAGACAGAAACAAGUUGUGUUCAUGAUUGUGGGGCAGAUUCUGCACUACACUUUCUGAGGGACCCAAGGAUGCUGGGGGCAAAGAUGACUUUAAGCCACUGCUGUGCCACCCAGAUUCUGGACUGCUGUGUGAGCCAGUAUGGCUUCCAGUGUGGGAUGAAGCCAAUACUGGCAUCACGUGUACAGACAGGAGCAGGAAGCACAGAGCUGCUGCUAUAGGUGCAACAGAGAACUCUUAGAAGCUGAAACCCAUCAUUUCCAAAUGAGUCACUGGAAGCAUUUGGAUUUCAAAGGAGCCACUGUGAAGGUUGCAGCAGGUG